AAACCAGCACCUCAAGUGGUCAGGAGGAUUAUUGGGCCUAAAGCAUCCGUAGCCUGUUCUGUAAGUUUUCGGUUAAAUCCAUUAGCUCAACUAAUGGGCCGCCGAAAAUACUGUAGAACUAGGGAGUGGGAGAGGUAGACGGUAUUCGGUAGGAAGGGGUAAAAUCCUUUGAUCUAUUGAGGACCACCUGUGGCGAAGGCGGUCUACCAGAACACGUUCGACGGUGAGGGAUGAAAGCUGGGGGAGCAAACCGGAUUAGAAACCCUAGUAGUCC
This 274-nucleotide ribosomal RNA is filed under the name uncultured bacterium. RNAcentral describes it as "partial 16S ribosomal RNA". It matches the Rfam family "Archaeal small subunit ribosomal RNA", at positions 473 to 747 of the family's 1478-position model. The record is from RNAcentral.